RNAcentral lists this ribosomal RNA (368 nucleotides) under uncultured organism. RNAcentral's name for it is "bacterial SSU rRNA". It matches the Rfam family "Bacterial small subunit ribosomal RNA", at positions 526 to 896 of the family's 1533-position model. The record is from RNAcentral.
CGAAGGAUGCAAGCGUUAUCCGGAUUCAUUGGUUUAAAGGGUGCGUAGGCGGACUUGUAAGUCAGUGGUGAAAUCUCUCAGCUUAACUGAGAAACUGCCAUUGAUACUGCAGGUCUAGAGUAUAGAUGACGUUGGCGGAAUAUGACAUGUAGUGGUGAAAUACUUAGAUAUGUCAUAGAACACCGAUUGCGAAGGCAGCUAACGAAACUAUAACUGACGCUGAGGCACGAAAGUGCGGGGAUCAAACAGGAUUAGAUACCCUGGUAGUCCGCACCGUAAACGAUGAUUACUCGUUGUUGGCGAUAUGACAGUCAGCGACCAAGCGAAAGCGAUAAGUAAUCCACCUGGGGAGUACGCCGGCAACGGUG